Trifolium pratense (red clover) is the source of this 610-nucleotide long non-coding RNA. RefSeq lists it as uncharacterized. Lineage: Eukaryota; Viridiplantae; Streptophyta; Magnoliopsida; Fabales; Fabaceae. The record is from RefSeq and is a predicted model, not a curated record. The transcript has 2 exons.
UAAAAGUUAAACAUAACACAUUAAUCUAUCUUUUAUUUUUAUUUUUUAUAAUACUUUAAUCUAUCUUAGAGACAAUUAAUAAUAACUCCAAUUUAUUAAUGGUUUCUUGAACUCCUAAGAGCUAAAAUCACUUUACCUGAACCUGAAGUUAACCAAGCAACAAAUUUAUACUUAUAAAUUGUUCAAACAAGUUUUUAUUUAUUAAAUACAAAAAAAUGGCUCAAAUUUUUACUAUGUUAAUUAUUCUUUCUCUAUUUCUUAUGGUAACGAAUGGAAAAAUCGAUUGCGAAAAACAUAGUGAUUGUCCAAAAUCUAUGUGUGUCUUUCCUUGGAUUGUUAGGUGUUCUAAUUAUGUUUGUGAUUGCGGAUUUGCAGAUCCCCCUAGGGCAACUAGGGGAAAUAGGGGAUACAAGGGAUUUAGGCCAAGAAAUCGGUCCAUCCAAGAAAUGAAUUUAAGUUCUCUCAAAUGAUAAGUUUUCUUUAGUGGUGCUAAUUAAUCCCUUGAGUUAAAUGACUUAAUCUAUAUAAAAUAUAACUAUAUUGUACUAAUAAGUGUAUAAUUUAUUUGUACACAAUAAUUUCUCGCACAAUUUGAUAUAUGUUUCUCUUA